Molecule: long non-coding RNA, 2263 nt
Organism: Oncorhynchus gorbuscha (pink salmon)
Lineage: Eukaryota; Metazoa; Chordata; Actinopteri; Salmoniformes; Salmonidae
Exons: 3
Source: RefSeq, a predicted model, not a curated record
AGUUCCCAUGUUGAAAUGGCUGGAACUCUGAAACUUUCAACAGAAAACAAGUACUACUCGAUGCCAAAGAGACCCAUAGUAAGCUGGGCGUCUCGAAUGGUUAAGACCAAAAAAUAUGGAGCUGACGCUACAUGUUGAAAUGGUUAAGAACUACAACUCUACCAAAGGAGAAGACCAGAGAACGUGGAGAUCAUUCCCACGUUGAAAUGGCGAAGAUAUCUACAAAGAAUAAUUAUUCAGACUGCAGCCGUUUAAAUACUUUAGUCUGGUAAAUGCAUCCGAUUCUAAUAACAAUUCCAAAUGGUACUUUGAAGUAUCAGUUGUAACUACGGCAGACUGUGACUUCUGGGGAAUGCAACCAGAGACUUUUCUGUCAACUCUCUCCAGCAGAUGGACCCGCGACCACAGCGAGAGACAACAAGACAUACGCUCCUCAAUAUCAAACAUUCCAGUGCUGUCAUCAUCAAGGUGCAUCCCAUGGAAUGUCCUGAUCAGAUCAGUUCCCUGGGUAUCACAGAAACUUCUGACACUCAAGAGUGCCCCAAGGUAAUCUGCUGUGGCUGAACCAAGACACUCCAUUGGGAUCAGUUAGAGCAUGGGUGACAGAGCAUGGGUCGUCCAUCUCCCAUCAACACUGUCAUGCGCAUGUACGCUCGAGCGCACACACACCCUAACAUCCUUCUUCUCCACUGAAUUAAGACAGACUCACCUCCGAAGUGGGACAUAGAAAAAUAGAAACAACCCCAGCCUGGCUCAGAUAGCUACCUAGCCCUCUAUUAGACAUCUGGCUGGUCUCAAGACAUGAAACAACCCCAGCCUGGCUCAGAUAGCUACCUAGCCCUCUUAGUCAUCUGGCUGGUCUGAAGACAUGAAACAACCCCAGCCUGGCUCAGAUAGCUACCUAGCCCUCUAUUAGUCAUCUGGCUAGUCUGAAGACAUGAAACAACCCAUUACAAUGCAGGUCACACACUUAGGAAUACAGAUAGGCUAGUGGCUCUUUCUGCUGUGCCAGUCAAUUAUUUAAGGUGCAAGAUUAAAGAGGAGCCCCAAGUGUGUAUGUGGUGAUGGUUGUGAUGAAACAGUAUAUUUUUCACUGGAUCCCAGAGUGUAUACUUCUGUGCAGGUGUAGAUCUUCUUAAUAUGGCGUUUCAGGUGUGGGGUGGUUUUAAUCACUCCAAAGUUGGCGUUUCGUGAGUGGUUUUAAUCACUCCAAAGCUGGCAUAGCAUUAUAAGAGCCUGUGGGAGAAAUGUCAGGCAGCACCACUGACGAGGAGACUCCUGCAUGCGUGUGCACAGGCGCGUAUGAGAAAUACACUGAGCAAUUAUUCCAGUGUCAACAAUGGAGUGUCUCCACCUGUUCACCACUAUAUAGAGGCACAGAUGGUCAGUACUUCAGUGCUCAUGCCACCUGGUGGUCAUUCUGGCCAAAUGACAACCACAGAGAGAGAGGUGGCAGAGACAUGAAGACAGGAAGACAGAUUGGGAGACUGAUCCAUAGUAUAGAGAAAUUAUAGCCGGAUUUACAUUUAGACCGACCAGAGAGGAAUUAACAAUCAAAUUAGCCUCUGAAAUACACCCCCCCCCCCUUUACUCCAUAUAUAUGUAUUCACAUUUUAUACACUUAAAGUAAACAGCAACCAUCGCUUCUGAUAGUCAAAUCGAAAUUCAGAGUAGAGCUCACUCAUGUCUACCUGAAAUUCAAACAUAUUCAUAAUGAGCUAUGAAAAUAACACUUGGAACUCUGGGCAAUCCCUUCCAUAGACAUACUGUCCAUCUUGACAUUGCACUGAAACCAUACAUUUUCACAGCUUAUGUUGACAUAAUCAUGUGUACUGUAUGUCUCCCAUCUAUUGACACCACUGUUAUAAAUGUUAGGUUGCCAGAUAUUCAAACAAUUCUAAAGUGUUUUGUUGGUUAAAGAGGCUGGAGUAUUAGCACAAGGUCUCUAUUAAAACAGCAGUCUGUCAAGCAGGAACAGCGGUCUAAAAUGUCAAUAUGUGGUGCUUUAAGUAUAAAAUGCUUGUUUCUAUUGUGCAACUCAGUCCGAGUCCGUCAGGGUGAAUGAACACACACUCCCAGAAAGCACUCACGGGGAUAAACAGAAUACAGUCAUGCAUAGUGUCUUUACACAAAUACCUCAAGUUCUAUGUAUAAAUGUUUGCCUCCUGAGGCUAAGCCAGUCAGUAUGUUAAUAGCAGAAUGAAUACACAAGUAUUUCUCACACAAUACCAGACAUGAGAAAGAUACAGUGGUGUACUGAAAG